RNAcentral lists this long non-coding RNA (305 nucleotides) under Cucumis sativus (cucumber). RNAcentral's name for it is "long non-coding RNA (CSAT_LNC001578)". The record is from RNAcentral. Lineage: Eukaryota; Viridiplantae; Streptophyta; Magnoliopsida; Cucurbitales; Cucurbitaceae.
UCCAUUGGAGCCAGUGAGUGGGCUCAUAUUCCCCAUCUUGAUCAUGGCUUUAACAAAGUCGCUGAAGAAAAGCGUAGUGUUUGAGCUAUAAGCUUCGACCAACGGUUUUGUAGUGGUUUGAGCUUCAUCGCUUGAGAACAGGAUCUGGUCGGACGCCAACAGCCCCUUUUGGUUCAGCAAGUUCUUGUAGUAAUGGUUGUCAAAUAAAUCGGUUGAGUUUCGGUCGAGAACAGUGGUCUUGUUGCCGUCAUCGGUGAGAGGGCAGAGAGCUUGAAGAUCAGAUACCAUCAUGGACUCCAUGGUUG